Non-coding RNA from Anguilla anguilla (European eel), 774 nucleotides. Lineage: Eukaryota; Metazoa; Chordata; Actinopteri; Anguilliformes; Anguillidae. The record is from the annotation of a RefSeq genome assembly.
UCCUCUAACUGUAUGUGACAGGAUUUGUAUAGAGGAAGAGGCUUUGCAUAUCUGUCCUGCUUCACUGCUCUACACACUUUAAGACCCCCAGUACUGAUCAGUGACUGUCCAGUCCUUUCACAGACACUGACAAAGGCAGCGCUAUAAUGAUGUUGGUCUUUUUACUGCUGGUGAUGCUGGGACUCCUUGUACAAGAAUCAAUGGCAGAUGUAGUUCUGACUCAGGAUCCAUCAGCUCAGUCUAUUCAGCUGGGAGACACUGUUUCUAUCAGCUGUACAGCCAGUCAGAGCGUUUACACUGACAGCAGUGGUGACAGACUCAGCUGGUACCUGCAGAAACCUGGUCAGGCUCCUAAACUUCUGAUUUAUCUUGCCACAAGUCGCCAGUCUGGGAUUCCUGAUCGUUUCAGUGGGAGUGGAUCUGGGACUCAGUUCACACUGAAAAUCACUGGAGUCCAGGCUGAAGAUGCAGGAGAUUAUUACUGUCAGAGUUACCACUACAUCAACAGUAAAGUUAUAUUCACACAGUGAUACAGAGCCGUACAAAAACCUCCUUCAGUCAGACUGCACAGAGACUGCACUGCUGCAGCUGGGACCUACUGCAGGUGCUGAGGGGGGAGGCAUUGAUCUGUGACACUGAGGGACACUGCUCAAAUUUUGUGCAAUAAUAAUUCACAUAUUCUAAUAUUAUUACCAUUUCUCUAAAUGUUAAUGUGAGCACAUCCAAAACCUUCCUCUUAAGAUCAAUUUUUAUUAAAUAAGCAUUAACCUUUCA